GGAUCGUAAAGCUCUGUUGUUAGGGAAGAACAAGUGCGAGAGUAACUGCUCGCACCAUGACGGUACCUAACCAGAAAGCCACGGCUAACUACGUGCCAGCAGCCGCGGUAAUACGUAGGUGGCAAGCGUUGUCCGGAAUUAUUGGGCGUAAAGGGCUCGCAGGCGGUUUCUUAAGUCUGAUGUGAAAGCCCCCGGCUCAACCGGGGAGGGUCAUUGGAAACUGGGAAACUUGAGUGCAGAAGAGGAGAGUGGAAUUCCACGUGUAGCGGUGAAAUGCGUAGAGAUGUGGAGGAACACCAGUGGCGAAGGCGACUCUCUGGUCUGUAACUGACGCUGAGG
RNAcentral lists this ribosomal RNA (339 nucleotides) under Bacillus pumilus. RNAcentral describes it as "bacterial SSU rRNA". It matches the Rfam family "Bacterial small subunit ribosomal RNA", at positions 420 to 751 of the family's 1533-position model. The record is from RNAcentral. Lineage: Bacteria; Bacillati; Bacillota; Bacilli; Caryophanales; Bacillaceae.